Molecule: ribosomal RNA, 465 nt
Filed under: uncultured bacterium
Lineage: Bacteria
Description: partial 16S ribosomal RNA
Rfam family: Bacterial small subunit ribosomal RNA
Source: RNAcentral
GACGAACGCUGGCGGCGUGCUUAACACAUGCAAGUCGUACGGUAAGGCCCUUUCGGGGGUACACGAGUGGCGAACGGGUGAGUAACACGUGAGUAACCUGCCCACAACUUUGGGAUAACGCUAGGAAACUGGUGCUAAUACUGGAUAUGUGCUCCUGCUGCAUGGUGGGGGUUGGAAAGCUCCGGCGGUUGUGGAUGGACUCGCGGCCUAUCAGCUUGUUGGUGGGGUAGUGGCCUACCAAGGCGGCGGCGGGUAGCCGGCCUGAGAGGGUGACCGGCCACAUUGGGACUGAGAUACGGACCAGACUCCUACGGGAGGGAGCAGUGGGAAAGAUGGCACAAGGGGAGCAGGCCUAAUGCAGAAGCGCCGCGGGCGGGAGGACGGCCUUCGGGUUGUAAACCGCAUUCAGCAGGAACGAAGCUUUUUGUGACGGUACCUGCAGAAGAAGCACCGGCUAACUACGUG